Molecule: unclassified non-coding RNA, 300 nt
Filed under: Serendipita herbamans
Lineage: Eukaryota; Fungi; Basidiomycota; Agaricomycetes; Sebacinales; Serendipitaceae
Description: sequence contains 5.8S rRNA gene
Source: RNAcentral
GAACGCACCUUGCACCCUUUGGUAUUCCGAAGGGUACGCCCGUUUGAGUGUCAUUGUAAUCUCACUUCUACAACUUUAUUGUUGUUUGAAUGUGGACUUGGAUGUUGCCGUUUUAUCACGGCUCGUCUUAAAUGCCUGAGUGUACCCUGUUUUGCAGCGUAUCCAGUGUAAUAAACAUUUCACUAGAGUUGGUUGAAAGACCACGUUGACUAUAUGGGCUCUAUGCUUCAAACCGUCUGCCAUGUGGACAAUUUCUUGACAAUUUGACCUCAAAUCGGGUGGGACUACCCGCUGAACUUA